RNAcentral lists this ribosomal RNA (250 nucleotides) under uncultured bacterium. RNAcentral describes it as "partial 16S ribosomal RNA". It matches the Rfam family "Bacterial small subunit ribosomal RNA", at positions 524 to 776 of the family's 1533-position model. The record is from RNAcentral.
UACGAAGGGGGCUAGCGUUGCUCGGAAUCACUGGGCGUAAAGGGUGCGUAGGCGGGUCUUUAAGUCAGGGGUGAAUCCUGGAGCUCAACUCCAGAACUGCCUUUGAUACUGAGGAUCUUGAGUUCGGGAGAGGUGAGUGGAACUGCGAGUGUAGAGGUGAAAUUCGUAGAUAUUCGCAAGAACACCAGUGGCGAAGGCGGCUCACUGGCCCGAUACUGACGCUGAGGCACGAAGCGUGGGAGCAAACAGG